GAUGAACGCUGGCGGCGUGCCUAAUACAUGCAAGUCGAGCGAACAGACGAGGAGCUUGCUCCUCUGACGUUAGCCGCGGACGGGUGAGUAACACGUGGAUAACCUACCUAUAAGACUGGGAUAACUUCGGGAAACCGGAGCUAAUACCGGAUAAUAUAUUGAACCGCAUGGUUCAAUAGUGAAAGACGGUUUUGCUGUCACUUAUAGAUGGAUCCGCGCCGCAUUAGCUAGUUGGUAAGGUAACGGCUUACCAAGGCAACAAUGCGUAGCCGACCUGAGAGGGUGAUCGGCCACACUGGAACUGAGACACGGUCCAGACUCCUACGGGAGGCAGCAGUAGGGAAUCUUCCGCAAUGGGCGAAAGCCUGACGGAGCAACGCCGCGUGAGUGAUGAAGGUCUUCGGAUCGUAAAACUCUGUUAUUAGGGAAGAACAAAUGUGUAAGUAACUAUGCACGUCUUGACGGUACCUAAUCAGAAAGCCACGGCUAACUACGUG
Molecule: ribosomal RNA, 497 nt
Filed under: uncultured bacterium
Lineage: Bacteria
Description: partial 16S ribosomal RNA
Rfam family: Bacterial small subunit ribosomal RNA
Source: RNAcentral